Molecule: long non-coding RNA, 904 nt
Organism: Mustela erminea (ermine)
Lineage: Eukaryota; Metazoa; Chordata; Mammalia; Carnivora; Mustelidae
Exons: 3
Source: RefSeq, a predicted model, not a curated record
CCCACCGUGGGCUCUAGUGGGGAGGAGUUGGAGGGGAGUGGGGAGCGGAGACCUGGAGAGGCCGGCUGGACAGAAGGAUGAAGGACAAAGCGCCCAGAGGCAGUGAGACGUCGGGCUGGGGUUCCUCUCCCCCACCCCCCAGCCCCAGGAGCCCAGGCCUUCCCAUCUCUGUGGAUCUCCCUCUUGGCUGACAGACAGCCAUCCCGGGAGGCAAGGUCAGGGAGCGAGUGGGUGAGCACAGAAGAUUCCUUUCCUGCCAGCAGGUCAACAUGGCAUCCGGCGUUUGAGGGACUCUGUGCCAAAGCCAGGAGUGCUCUCCUGGGUCAAGGCCACGGCUCUCCCCUCACCCUUCCGGGAGGCGGGCAGAGCUCCCCCGAGCCUCUGGGCCCAGCCGCCCUCAGACGAGCUGAUACAGGAAGGAACAGUGGAAGGUGACCCGUGAGCACGCAUGUCUGUCGCCGCAGGUGAACCCCAGCCUAGGGCCCUGCUCCAAGACCUGCAGAGCUCCUCGUUCGCAGUUUCGGGGCACACAGAUGUACUCGCUUUGUUUCCGACAUCCGGUCGCAGUCGCGAGGACGGCUCUCCAGGAAGAUGUGUUUAGUGAGCUGGGUCCCCACCUGCCUGCCUUUGUCUCCUGGGCGGCAGCAGGUGGACAGUGCCAACUCUGGAGACACGUUUGGGGCUCAGCACAGGGGCGGUGUGGGGGCAAUGGGAACUGGGCAUGAGGAAAACCCCAGAGCAAGGCCCCAGGAGAAGACCUGCGAGCGUGUGCAGUUUCUAGCCAAGCAGGGCUGUCACACGCCUCAGAUCGCACCCUGAGUGUCACGGUGUCAAGAAAGCAGCUCUGGGGGCGCCGGGGUGGCUCAGUGGGUUAAGCCUCUGCCUUCGGCUCAGAUCAUGGUCC